This 492-nucleotide ribosomal RNA is filed under the name uncultured bacterium. Its description in RNAcentral is "partial 16S ribosomal RNA". It matches the Rfam family "Bacterial small subunit ribosomal RNA", at positions 29 to 507 of the family's 1533-position model. The record is from RNAcentral.
AGUGAACGCUGGCGGUAUGCCUAACACAUGCAAGUCGAACGGCAGCACAGUAAGAGCUUGCUCUUACGGGUGGCGAGUGGCGGACGGGGGAGGAAUACAUCGGAAGCUACUUUUUCGUGGGGGAUAACGUAGGGAAACUUACGCUAAUACCGCAUACGACCUACGGGUGAAAUCAGGGGAUCUUCGGACCGGGCGCUGUUGAAUGAGCCGAUGUCGGAUUAGCUAGUUGGCGGGGUAAAUGCCCACCAAGGCUACGAUCCGUAGCUGGUCUGAGAGUAUGAUAAGCCACCCUGGAAGUGAGACACGGACCCGACUCCUAAGGGAGGCAGCAGUGGGGAAUAUUGGACAAAGGGCGCAAGCCUGAUCCAGCCAUACCGAGUGGGUGCCGACGGCCUUCGGGUUGUAAAGCCCUUUUGUUGGGAAAGAAAAGCAGCAGGUUAAUACCCAGCUGUUCUGACGGUACCCAAAGAAUAAGCACCGGCUAACUUCGUG